GUUUUUGUCGUCCAAUGGAUAGGACACCAGUCUCCGGAACUGGCAAUCUGGGUUCGAGUCCCAGCAGAAACGCCA
RNAcentral lists this transfer RNA (75 nucleotides) under Opitutales bacterium. RNAcentral describes it as "tRNA-Arg". It matches the Rfam family "tRNA". From Rfam's summary of the family: Transfer RNA (tRNA) molecules are approximately 80 nucleotides in length. Their secondary structure includes four short double-helical elements and three loops (D, anti-codon, and T loops). Lineage: Bacteria; Pseudomonadati; Verrucomicrobiota; Opitutia; Opitutales. The record is from RNAcentral.